This is a long non-coding RNA of Herpailurus yagouaroundi (jaguarundi), 958 nucleotides long. RefSeq lists it as uncharacterized. The transcript has 6 exons. Lineage: Eukaryota; Metazoa; Chordata; Mammalia; Carnivora; Felidae. The record is from RefSeq and is a predicted model, not a curated record.
AUUCAUUAUGUAUUGUCUGUGGCUGCUUUUCUCACUACGCCGAAGUAAUUACAACAGAGACAAUAUGGCCUGCAAAGCCUAAAAUAUUUACUGUCUGACCAUUCACAGAGAAAGUUUCGCAACCCUGGUCUACAAUAUAGUUGGAUUCGACUACAAAGGAUCUGGGGUAGGAAGGAGGAAGUAUGACUGCCUGGUAAGGAAAGGAAAAGAAAGCGGGAAACACUGGAAAAGUAAACGAGUUCUUUCCUGUGAAGCCAAGGCCAUCUGCAUCAGGCACAUUGGAAGAUUGGACAUGCUUAAGAAACCUCGAGGCCAACGCUCUGAUAUUCAGCAUCAACACCCUUCUUGCUAGUCUAACCUAUCUACAGAAACACAAGAAAAAAAUUUCCAUGUAAAAAAUGGUAAACGGCAGUUGAAGAAUAUCAACAAUUAUUGACAGUGAGACUUUUGAAAGGCUGCAAAUGAAUCAAAAAAAAAAAAAAAAGAGAGAAGAAAAGAAGCAUCCAUAAUAUAGUCUCAUCUUCCAUAACUCUUACUACCAAAGUGCACGACUCAGGUAAACAACACAGAGAUCAUCUCACACAAGCACAAAGGAAGCAUGAAAAAAGCUGAACCUGAGCAUCAGAAGACCCUCUGAGACUUUGCCCUGGCUGUUCCGCUAACUGCCUAUGUGUGAUGAGUUGUCAAGUCUCCAGGGUCCCUCAACACUUGGAAUAAGGAAAUAGGAUCUUUCCCUCUGAGAGGAGCCAGAAAGAAAUACAGCAAUGAAGAAAACAGACCAAAAGGCCUGCCCUCAUCAGCUCAGAGGAGGAAAAACAGCUCAGAGAAAGAAUGACUGGGGCUUAGCCUAGAAGAUGUGUUGGCUGUGAACGUACUAGUGGGGAAAGCAGGGAUCAGUUGGCAAACUACUGCGGCCCCUACAGCACAGCCUGUGACCUGUUUCUUUUCAAGCUAAGAA